This 449-nucleotide ribosomal RNA is filed under the name uncultured bacterium. RNAcentral describes it as "bacterial SSU rRNA". It matches the Rfam family "Bacterial small subunit ribosomal RNA", at positions 28 to 475 of the family's 1533-position model. The record is from RNAcentral.
GAUGAACGCUGGCGGCGUGCUUAACACAUGCAAGUCGAACGAAGCACUUUAUUUGAUUUUUUCGGAAUGAAGAUUUUGUGACUGAGUGGCGGACGGGUGAGUAACGCGUGGGUAACCUGCCUCAUACAGGGGGAUAACAGUUGGAAACGACUGCUAAUACCGCAUAAGCGCACAGGGUCGCAUGACCUGGUGUGAAAAACUCCGGUGGUAUGAGAUGGACCCGCGUCUGAUUAGCCAGUUGGUGGGGUAACGGCCUACCAAAGCGACGAUCAGUAGCCGACCUGAGAGGGUGACCGGCCACAUUGGGACUGAGACACGGCCCAAACUCCUACGGGAGGCAGCAGUGGGGAAUAUUGCACAAUGGGGGAAACCCUGAUGCAGCGACGCCGCGUGAGCGAAGAAGUAUUUCGGUAUGUAAAGCUCUAUCAGCAGGGAAGAAGAAAUGACGG